UACGUAGGGGGCAAGCGUUGUCCGGAUUUAUUGGGCGUAAAGAGCGUGUAGGCGGCCAGUUAGGUCCGUUGUGAAAACUCGAGGCUCAACCUCGAGACGCCGAUGGAAACCAACUGGCUAGAGUCCGGAAGAGGAGAGUGGAAUUCCCGGUGUAGAGGUGGAAUUCGUAGAUAUUAGGAAGAACACCAGUGGCGAAGGCGGCUCACUGGUCCGGUACUGACGCUGAGGUGCGAAAGCGUGGGGAGCAAACAGG
Molecule: ribosomal RNA, 253 nt
Filed under: uncultured bacterium
Lineage: Bacteria
Description: partial 16S ribosomal RNA
Rfam family: Bacterial small subunit ribosomal RNA
Source: RNAcentral